GAAGAAAAACAUGAGGCUUUUGAAUUGCAUUGUUUAAUAGUAAAUGAGUUUUUGUGUUUCUGCAGAUGUGACUCUGAAAAUCGCUAUGUUGGUAAUCCACUUAGAGGAACAUGUUAUUAUAGCCUUUUGAUUGAUUAUCAGUUUACCUUCAGCUUAUUACAGGAAGAUGAUCGCCACCAUACUGCCAUAAACUUUAUAGCAAACCCAGAACAGUCGAACAAAAAUCUGGAUAUAUCAAUUAAUGCAUCAAACAACUUUAAUCUCAACAUUACGUGGUCUGUCGGUUCAACAGGUAAAAAAAUGUUGAUAUCAUAUCUCUUUUACGUGUGUUCCUAUCUGGAAGUUGUUCUAACAUGAUCUACUGU
RNAcentral lists this long non-coding RNA (365 nucleotides) under Rhinopithecus bieti (black snub-nosed monkey). RNAcentral describes it as "lncRNA (ENSRBIG00000046705.1)". Lineage: Eukaryota; Metazoa; Chordata; Mammalia; Primates; Cercopithecidae. The record is from RNAcentral.